UGGGGAAUAUUGGACAAUGGGCGAAAGCCUGAUCCAGCAAUGCCGCGUGUGUGAAGAAGGCCCUCGGGUUGUAAAGCACUUUCAGUGGGGAAGAAAAGCAGAGGGCCAAUACCUUUCUGUGCUGACGUUACCCACAGAAGAAGCACCGGCUAACUCCGUGCCAGCAGCCGCGGUAAUACGGAGGGUGCGAGCGUUAAUCAGAAUUACUGGGCGUAAAGGGCGAGUAGGUGGUUCGGUCAGUCGGAUGUGAAAUCCCCGGGCUCAACUUGGGAAUUGCAUUCGAUACUGCCGAGCUUGAGUGUGGUAGAGGGAAGCGGAAUUCCGGGUGUAGCGGUGAAAUGCGUAGAUAUCCGGAGGAACACCAGUGGCGAAGGCGGUUUCCUGGACCAACACUGACACUGAGUCGCGAAAGCGUGGGGAGCAAACAGGAUUAGAUACCCCCGUAGUCC
This 449-nucleotide ribosomal RNA is filed under the name uncultured prokaryote. Its description in RNAcentral is "bacterial SSU rRNA". It matches the Rfam family "Bacterial small subunit ribosomal RNA", at positions 355 to 796 of the family's 1533-position model. The record is from RNAcentral.